This is a long non-coding RNA of Patella vulgata (common limpet), 3424 nucleotides long. RefSeq lists it as uncharacterized. The record is from RefSeq and is a predicted model, not a curated record. The transcript is spliced from 6 exons. NCBI's taxonomy places the organism in Eukaryota, Metazoa, Mollusca, Gastropoda, Patellidae.
CCCACACACACAGCACUAAUAUAAAACAAUGUUAUAAAAUCAAAUUGUCACAGCUGUAUCAGGAUUUGGUUGAAUCAACAUGAACGUGUAUGUGAAUAUAGAGGGGGUAGCCGAUAUGUAUUUCUUCUCCAAAAACAGUGGAUACUUAAAAAUGGAAUAACCAAAUAAAAUGUCGCAAUUUCUGGUUUAAAAUUCUCCCUUCCUGUUUGAUAUAAAACGAUCUCAGUCUAUUAGUCGUCCCACUUUAACCAUUAUAUCAUGUGUAUUUAAAGUAAGCUUGUGUUAUGAUUUAAAUUUAUAAGCCCCGUUGAGUCAACUAAAAGAAACUUGUACAAAUAACAACAUACCAGUUAUAUAAAGGCAUAUCAAGAAGCUGAAUGAUGACACGGACGGUAUACCUAUUAUGCCCAAUCUUGUUCCUACUGGUAGACCAAACAUUAGCAGAGUGUCGAGAUGACUGUGAUAAAGGAUAUUAUAUGGAAUAUUGUGAUGAGCAUACUGGAAAACCUAAAUGUGUCGAAUGCCCACCUAAUACAUAUAGCGAGAUAGCCAAUAAGGCUACUUCCUGUGAGGAUUGUCGAUCCCAGUGCCCAUGGAGUCAAGUGGAGGUUCAGGCUUGCAGUAAAAUAUCAGAUCUCAAAUGCCAGUGCCCCAAUGGUGAAUACGAGGAGCCACAAAUCGACGGAGAAGGGAUCUGUAAAAAAUGUACAGUGUGUGGAAAUGGUCAGAAAAUAGAAGUAGAAUGUACACCAAAAGCAAACAGAAAAUGCAGCGGUAAGCCAGAGUCUCCGGAAGAACCGACUGAAGAUACCAAGACCACAGAACGGACAACGCCAUAUGCGGGAACUAUUAAUAUUAAUAAUAACUGGCUUGUAGUCACCAUAGUGGCCAUUGUUGGCUUUAUUACGUACAAGUGUUUUUUCCGUCGAGUGCCUCGAAUGUAAAGUCACAAUAAUAGAUUCGUUAAUAGACUGAAAACCAACACACCCUAAAGAUAUUUAUAGACAUUAUCGAAGUUUAAAUGUAACUUUCAAAUGUGAAAAUAAGUAUGAUUUUAAAACGUAAUCACAAAAUGUUUUUUUUAAAUAUCAUUGUCAUGCUUAGCCCAAUUAUUAAAGAUGCAUUUAUGUAAGAUAUAAUAGUUCAAAAAUAGAAUUUGCUAAAUGAAUAUAUUGGAAAUUUCAGUCAAAUUACUUUAUUCUGAGCGAAGUUAACACGAUAUUAGUUAAAGGGACAUUAUAUAAGAUUAGUUUUUGCUAGAAUGGUUAAAAAAUAGAUAAUGAAAAAGGAAGAUGUUGAAAAUUCCAGUCAAAUUUAUCGUCGCUAGAAGAACAAUGUAGCCUUGAUUGUCAUCGCUACUGUUGUUAAGAUAAUAAACAAAGUCUUGAUUAUCCAGUUUUAAAUUAAAUCAUGAAAUAGCCGAAUUGUUCUAAUCUACUUAAAAUCGGAGCCAUCCGAUGGCAGCGAGAGGUGAUUAUGGUCUUGUCAUGUUAAACAUACAUUAUGCAAGAGCUAAAUCUGCCUAUUUCAGGUCUUUCUUUAGGCCUGAAAUGUUAUCUAAAUUAUUAAUUAGACAUUAAUUAACCUAUCCAGGCCAUAAUCAACUCUAGAUGGCAGUGCUAGCCUGCGAUCUUUAGUGGAUUGUAAGCCUAUUUACUGCAUAACUUUCCUUCUCGAUUAAAUGGAUAAUCGAGACCAUGCUGUUUAUCGUACUGACUUUAGUAAUGAUGACCGAGGCUUAUGGGAAUUUCAGUCGCUUACUUCUCGGUUCAUAGUGGAUCAAUUUGAAUGAAAUUUUCAUCAAAUUGCCUUUACAUUAUCUAGUUUUUAACUAUUAUAGUGAGAACUGCCAACUCGUUACCGAAUCUCCCAUAAUGUAUCUUUAAUUAAUGUCUAAUUAAUAAUUUAUAUACCAUUUAAGGCAUUAAGAAAGACCUGCAAUAGGCAGAAUUAGUUCUUGCAUAAUGUAUCUUUAUAUACCAUUUAAAGUAUUUUAAAGCCUUAAGAAAUGCCUGCAAUAGGCAGAUUUAGCUCUUGCAUAAUGCCUGUUGAAAUAAUCUCGAUUGUCAAGUACCAUUACUACGAUAUUAAACAAAGUCUCGAUUAUACAUUUUAAUGUUGUUCUAAUCUAUUCAAUAUCUGGUCCACCGGAUGCUCUAGAGAGAAUGGAAUGUGUGUAUGUAUGUCUGAAUAAAAAUUUGUAUAACAUUUGAAGCCAGAAAAAGACCUGUAAUAGGCAGAUUUAACUGUUACAUAAUGCAUCUUGAACGUAUAAUACAAACAUUUCUUAUCAUAUCUAUGGCAUUCAUCUUUAUGACUUUGGCUUAUUUUGAUAUUAAAAAUGGAAAACCAACAAAAAUACUUCCCCAUGUUUGCGUGUACAUGUAUGUCUAUAAUUAAUUUAUUUUUCAUAAGAAUAAUUAGAUUUCAUUCACAUUUCCAGGUGAUUUCAUUCUAUUUAUGAACUGAUUGAAUUUAUUUAUAAUAAAUUGUAAGAAUUUAUUUAUAAUAAAUUGUAAGAAUUUAUUUAUGAUGAUCUGGUUGAUUUUAUUUAUGAAGAUCUGAUUGAUUUUAUUUAUGAAGAUCUGAUUGAUUUUUAUACGCCCACAUUAAAAUGUGGUCGUAUAUUGUUGUCGCCCCCGUCCGUCCGUCCGUCCGUCGGUCCGGCGUCCACAAUUGCUUGUGGACGCUCUAUAGGCUAAAGUUAAUACCCGAUUGACUUUAAAUUUAUACACAGUGUUUAAGGCCAUGAGACGAAGAAACCUAUUGAUUUUCAGCGAUUUUCGAUAAUUACUGCCAGAGUUAUGACCCUUGAUCACUUCAAAACAUCUUGUGGUCGCUCUAGAGGUCAAAGUUAAUAUCCGAUUGACUUUAAAUUUAUACACAGUGUUUAAGGCCAUGAGACGAAGAAGCCUAUUGAUUUUCAGUGAUUUCCGAUAAAUACUGCCAGAGUUAUGGCCCUUGAUCACUUUGAAAAAUCUUGUGACGCUCUAGAGGCUAAAGUUAUCAUACGAUUGUCUUCAGAUUGGUACACAGAGUUUAAGGUCUUGAGACAAACAUGUAUAUUGAUUUUCAAUGAAUCUUUUUGACUUGAACAGCUAAAUCCAUGAUGUUAAAAGUUCCGUACACUAAAUGUUAACAUGGGGCAGAACUUUAUAAAAAACAAACAAAUUGUAAUGGUUUUCUGAUAAUUACUUAAUCAGUUGUUGCUCUUAAUCAGAUGUUAAUGUAUUAUAAAUGUUUCAUUACCGAAAAAAGUAAAAAUAUGCGACAACUCUUGUUGACUGCCCGAACGAUAUAGCUGCUGUGGGCGUAUGUUUCGUUGCCUGGCAAUCUAUCUUAUUUAUGUGAGUUGUAACAAUUUAUUUAUGGUGAUCUAAUUGAUAUAUUCAUGAUGAAUUGAAUAAAUAUAUUUAUGAUGAUA